GAUGAACGCUGGCGGCGUGCCUAAUACAUGCAAGUCGAGCGAACAGACGAGGAGCUUGCUCCUCUGACGUUAGCGGCGGACGGGUGAGUAACACGUGGAUAACCUACCUAUAAGACUGGGAUAACUUCGGGAAACCGGAGCUAAUACCGGAUAAUAUAUUGAACCGCAUGGUUCAAUAGUGAAAGACGGUUUUGCUGUCACUUAUAGAUGGAUCCGCGCCGCAUUAGCUAGUUGGUAAGGUAACGGCUUACCAAGGCAACGAUGCGUAGCCGACCUGAGAGGGUGAUCGGCCACACUGGAACUGAGACACGGUCCAGACUCCUACGGGAGGCAGCAGUAGGGAAUCUUCCGCAAUGGGCGAAAGCCUGACGGAGCAACGCCGCGUGAGUGAUGAAGGUCUUCGGAUCGUAAAACUCUGUUAUUAGGAAAGAACAAAUGUGUAAGUAACUAUGCACGUCUUGACGGUACCUAAUCAGAAAGCCACGGCUAACUACG
This 495-nucleotide ribosomal RNA is filed under the name uncultured bacterium. RNAcentral describes it as "partial 16S ribosomal RNA". It matches the Rfam family "Bacterial small subunit ribosomal RNA", at positions 28 to 505 of the family's 1533-position model. The record is from RNAcentral.